UACGUAGGGUGCAAGCGUUUAAUCGAAAUUACUGGGCGUAAAGCGUGCGCAGGCGGUGAUGUAAGACAGAUGUGAAAUCCCCGGGCUCAACCUGGGAACUGCAUUUGUGACUGCAUCGCUGGAGUACGGCAGAGGGGAUGGAAUUCCGCGUGUAGCAGUGAAAUGCGUAGAUAUGCGGAGGAACACCGAUGGCGAAGGCAAUCCCCUGGGCCUGUACUGACGCUCAUGCACGAAAGCGUGGGGAGCAAACAGG
This 253-nucleotide ribosomal RNA is filed under the name uncultured bacterium. RNAcentral's name for it is "partial 16S ribosomal RNA". It matches the Rfam family "Bacterial small subunit ribosomal RNA", at positions 524 to 776 of the family's 1533-position model. The record is from RNAcentral.